This 492-nucleotide ribosomal RNA is filed under the name uncultured bacterium. RNAcentral describes it as "partial 16S ribosomal RNA". It matches the Rfam family "Bacterial small subunit ribosomal RNA", at positions 29 to 507 of the family's 1533-position model. The record is from RNAcentral.
AGUGAACGCUGGCGGUAGGCCUAACACAUGCAAGUCGAACGGCAGCACAGUAAGAGCUUGCUCUUACGGGUGGCGAGUGGCGGACGGGUGAGGAAUACAUCGGAAUCUACUUUUUCGUGGGGGAUAACGUAGGGAGACUUACGCUAAUACCGCAUACGACCUACGGGUGAAAGCAGGGGAUCUUCGGACCUUGCGCGAUUGAAUGAGCCGAUGUCGGAUUAGCUAGUUGGCGGGGUAAAGGCCCACCAAGGCGACGAUCCGUAGCUGGUCUGAGAGGAUGUUCAGCCACACUGGAACUGAGACACGGUCCAGACUCCUACGGGAGGCAGCAGUGGGGAAUAUUGGACAAUGGGCGCAAGCCUGAUCCAGCCAUACCGCGUGGGUGAAGAAGGCCUUCGGGUUGUAAAGCCCUUUUGUUGGGAAAGAAAAGCAGCAGGUUAAUACCCCGCUGUUCUGACGGUACCCAAAGAAUAAGCACCGGCUAACUUCGUG